Long non-coding RNA from Rhododendron vialii, 706 nucleotides. RefSeq lists it as uncharacterized. NCBI's taxonomy places the organism in Eukaryota, Viridiplantae, Streptophyta, Magnoliopsida, Ericales, Ericaceae. The transcript is spliced from 2 exons. The record is from RefSeq and is a predicted model, not a curated record.
AAAUUAGGCAUUGAGCUCUCUCACCUGUGUAGAAGCGAACUUCAAAUAGUAUGGGCAUCAAAUUUGAGGAUUAUAUAUAAAAUGGGAUAUGAGGAGAUUAGGCUCCUCUGGAUUUGCUAUGGACUUUGACAUUGAGAUUAGGAGGCGUAUCAUGCCACGUUUACUAGUGGAAAAUCAAUUUCAGCAAUAACUAUUUAAUAGGAGUGGUGGAAAUCCUUCAUCUUGACGAUUGUAACAAUAACGGAGCAUAUGUUCGUUCUUUCUCUGGUCCAUCUUCUACUCAUGUUUCAUAUGUUUAAUUGAAACUGAACAUAAAUAUCUUCAUUUGAAUUCCAUGUCUUUCCAUACAGAGCCUCAAGCUUCCCUUUGUCUAACAGUUGCAAAUGUGAUGAUGUGUAGGAGAAAGCUCUUACCAUGGGGAUUCUGCUAGUAACUCUUGCUGUUUGGUUGGUGUUUGAGAAAUCUGGCUAUACACUUCUAUCACUUGUGUUCUGUUGCCCCUAGUUGUCAUUCUUUUCCCCUGGGCCAAAUCUGCGGAAAUUGUACAUCGGUAACCUACAAUGAUGUCCGAUGUUUUUUAUGCUUCUUUGCUAUAGAUGGAUACCGGCGCUUGUUCCUACUAAAGCAUGAGACAAGUAAAGCAAUUUAAGACAAUUGGUUGUGGGCUACAUGCACCGUGGUUUAACUGUAUAACGGAUUUUAGUUA